GUGCCAGCAGCCGCGGUAAUACGGAGGGUGCAAGCGUUAAUCGGAAUUACUGGGCGUAAAGGGUGCGUAGGCGGUUGUUUAAGUCUGUUGUGAAAUCCCCGGGCUCAACCUGGGAAUGGCAAUGGAUACUGGGCAGCUAGAGUGUGUCAGAGGAUGGUGGAAUUCCCGGUGUAGCGGUGAAAUGCGUAGAGAUCGGGAGGAACAUCAGUGGCGAAGGCGGCCAUCUGGGACAACACUGACGCUGAAGCACGAAAGCGUGGGGAGCAAACAGGAUUAGAUACCCUCGUAGUCC
RNAcentral lists this ribosomal RNA (292 nucleotides) under uncultured bacterium. RNAcentral's name for it is "partial 16S ribosomal RNA". It matches the Rfam family "Bacterial small subunit ribosomal RNA", at positions 505 to 796 of the family's 1533-position model. The record is from RNAcentral.